CAUCUUGCCGUCGGGGCGCUGAGGGCCGUCGGCACCCACCGCGUCGUGCCGCCAGCCGAAACUCCGCCCUGCCAACAAGCCGAAGCUCCGCCAAUCUUAUUCAGACGAUUUUCUCUUCGUCGCUCCAUAUCCCCCUUUUCUGUUUAUUUUCCGAUUUCACACUUCAUUCCUAGCAAAUCCAGUUUUGUCUUUUUUACAAUUUCUUCGCUAGUUUUUUUUUUGUUUUUCGAAAGCCGGGUGAAUGAACGGACGAGUUCUUUUCAUGUUAGAGAAUUAUGGCCCCAAAGGUUAAAUAAAGAGGCUUCUCGUGAUCUUAUGUUAUGAUCCACAUAUCUCAUCAUGCAAAUUGAUUUGCAAUUUUGUUCUCUAGUCAGUUUGAUUCCCAUUACAUGCCCUACACUUAACUUUAAUCCAUAAUUUCCCUUUUGAAUCAACAUUGUCCUUCCUGUAUAGUUUGUCCAUUGCAUUUAGCAACCAAAAUCCACAAACUUCAUUUUACCCCCAAACAUGUUUCACUGUUAUUAGCAACUCGUACAAAUUGUUGAUAUAUUGGAUUAGCUGCGGGGCAUUUGAAUCUGAUGAGAAUUUCGAAGCUUGCUUUUUUAGUGUGGAUGUUGAUUCAUUGGCUUUUGAGAUUAAAUAGAGCAAAAGAAAAAGGAAAUUUUUUGUGAUGCUUUUCUGAGACUAGUAACAACCUUUGCUUAGUAACUUUCGUUCUACUUCUAAAAGCCUGUUCAAUAUCUUUUUACUAGAUUUUUUCAAGAUGUGGCUAGUUAAGUACAAAAGGCUAGUAGGAAUCUAGUUUCCAUAAUUUAUUGGUGAAGGUCGUAGCUACAGUAGUUUGAAGAAAGUUACAUUGCAACAGAUGAUCAAUUUAUUGGUUUUUGUGUUUCCGGUUGAUACUCUCCAAUUCGCCCAAUUGCUUCCUAUUGGCUGCCAUGGCUACAAUUGACAUUUUUGGAAUAUAGCAUCAUGGUGUUAAGUUUGUGAAAUUAGGAAAAUCUGCUAGUUGCUAUGUUGGGGGUGAGGUUGUUGUUUUAUCAGGAUUUGAUCCUGACAAGUUUGGUUACUUAGACUUAGAGGAUGAAGUCUUCAAGUUAGGGUAUAAAAGUUGGGCUUGUUUGGAAUUUAAGGUACCUAAAACCCAUGAUUUGCACCUUGUUCUUGAUGAUAAAGUUAUUAUGUUUUUGCUGCAAUAUUUGUCACCUCAAUGUAAGUUCUUAGAGAUCUAUGUCGAUGAGGGUAACAAUGAGGUGUAUUUUGAGAAAGAUGACACAGAUGCACCUGUGAAGGGGAAUGAGAAAGCUCUUGAGGAGGGUACCAAGUCUGCUAAGGGGAAAGAGAAAGCUCUUGAUGAGGGUAAAGACUCUAAAAUGGGGAAGAAGAAACUUGUAGUGAUAGUGAUUCUGAAGAUGUCGAUUAUGAGAUAGCUUGGGUGAUAGACCGACAAUGAUCGAGCAUCAACCACAAAAGAGUUACUAACUUAAGAAAGCCAAGCGAAGUAGUUGUGGAAGUAAUAUUAUUGGAGAAAAUAAUGUAAUUAAGGCUUGGAUGAAAUUUUUGAUUGAGCUACUGGACAUACCCUUUUUGAUUGAGCUACUCUAUAAACUCUAAUAUCAACGCCUUGAUGAAA
Long non-coding RNA from Salvia miltiorrhiza (redroot sage), 1633 nucleotides. RefSeq lists it as uncharacterized. NCBI's taxonomy places the organism in Eukaryota, Viridiplantae, Streptophyta, Magnoliopsida, Lamiales, Lamiaceae. The transcript has 3 exons. The record is from RefSeq and is a predicted model, not a curated record.